This 250-nucleotide ribosomal RNA is filed under the name uncultured bacterium. Its description in RNAcentral is "partial 16S ribosomal RNA". It matches the Rfam family "Bacterial small subunit ribosomal RNA", at positions 524 to 773 of the family's 1533-position model. The record is from RNAcentral.
UACGGAGGGUGCAAGCGUUAAUCGGAAUUACUGGGCGUAAAGCGCACGUAGGCGGUUCGUUAAGCCAGCUGUGAAAUCCCCGGGCUCAACCUGGGAAUUGCAGUUGGAACUGGCGAGCUAGAGUAUGGUAGAGGGGUGUGGAAUUUCAGGUGUAGCGGUGAAAUGCGUAGAUAUCUGAAGGAACACCAGUGGCGAAGGCGACACCCUGGACCAAUACUGACGCUGAGGUGCGAAAGCGUGGGGAGCAAAC